UUUGACAUGUACGGAAUCCUUUAGAGAUAGAGGAGUGCUCGAAAGAGAACCGUAACACAGGUGCUGCAUGGCUGUCGUCAGCUCGUGUCGUGAGAUGUUGGGUUAAGUCCCGCAACGAGCGCAACCCUUGUCAUUAGUUGCUACAUUCAGUUGGGCACUCUAAUGAGACUGCCGGUGACAAACCGGAGGAAGGUGGGGAUGACGUCAAGUCCUCAUGGCCCUUAUAGGUGGGGCUACACACGUCAUACAAUGGAUGGUACAAAGGGUCGCCAACCCGCGAGGGGGAGCCAAUCCCAUAAAGCCAUUCGUAGUCCGGAUCGCAGUCUGCAACUCGACUGCGUGAAGUCGGAAUCGCUAGUAAUCGUGGAUCAGAAUGCCACGGUGAAUACGUUCCCGGGUCUU
RNAcentral lists this ribosomal RNA (402 nucleotides) under uncultured Acidovorax sp. RNAcentral's name for it is "bacterial SSU rRNA". It matches the Rfam family "Bacterial small subunit ribosomal RNA", at positions 980 to 1382 of the family's 1533-position model. The record is from RNAcentral. Lineage: Bacteria; Pseudomonadati; Pseudomonadota; Betaproteobacteria; Burkholderiales; Comamonadaceae.